CAAGCCUGAUCCAGCCAUACCGCGUGGGUGAAGAAGGCCUUCGGGUUGUAAAGCCCUUUUGUUGGGAAAGAAAUCCAGCCGGCUAAUACCUGGUUGGGAUGACGGUACCCAAAGAAUAAGCACCGGCUAACUUCGCGCCAGCAGCCGCGGUAAUACGAAGGGUGCAAGCGUUACUCGGAAUUACUGGGCGUAAAGCGUGCGUAGGUGGUCGUUUAAGUCAGGGGUGAAAUCCCAGAGCUCAACUCUGGAACUGCCUUUGAUACUGGGUAUCUUGAGUAUGGAAGAGGUAAGUGGAAUUCCGAGUGUAGAGGUGAAAUUCGUAGAUAUUCGGAGGAACACCAGUGGCGAAGGCGGCUUACUGGUCCAUUACUGACGCUGAGGUGCGAAAGCGUGGGGAGCAAACA
RNAcentral lists this ribosomal RNA (404 nucleotides) under uncultured Pseudomonadota bacterium. RNAcentral describes it as "bacterial SSU rRNA". It matches the Rfam family "Bacterial small subunit ribosomal RNA", at positions 378 to 774 of the family's 1533-position model. The record is from RNAcentral. Lineage: Bacteria; Pseudomonadati; Pseudomonadota.